RNAcentral lists this ribosomal RNA (465 nucleotides) under uncultured bacterium. Its description in RNAcentral is "partial 16S ribosomal RNA". It matches the Rfam family "Bacterial small subunit ribosomal RNA", at positions 28 to 507 of the family's 1533-position model. The record is from RNAcentral.
GAUGAACGCUGGCGGCGUGCUUAACACAUGCAAGUCGAACGGAAAGGCUCCUGCUUGCAUGGGUACUCGAGUGGCGAACGGGUGAGUAACACGUGGGUGAUCUGCCCUGCACUUCGGGAUAAGCCUGGGAAACUGGGUCUAAUACCGGCUAGGACGAUGGUUUGGAUGCCAUUGUGGAAAGUUUUUCGGUGUGGGAUGAGCUCGCGGCCUAUCAGCUUGUUGGUGGGGUAAUGGCCUACCAAGGCGUCGACGGGUAGCCGGCCUGCGAGGGUGUACGGCCACAUUGGGACGGAGAUACGGCCCAGACUCCUACGGGAGGCAGCAGUGGGGAAUAUUGCACAAUGGGCGCAAGCCUGAUGCAGCGACGCCGCGUGGGGGAUGACGGCCUUCGGGUUGUAAACUCCUUUCGCUAGGGACGAAGCGCAAGUGACGGUACCUGGAGAAGAAGCACCGGCUAACUACGUG